CUUCAUGAGGAAAGCAGCAUUACAAUAUUUACAGGGUUCAUGAGGAGAUUUCCUUUAUGACACUUAGGGGUUUAUGAAGACAUCAUCCUUGGAAGUUUAUGGGAAUUAUGAGAAAAGCCAAUUUCUGAGGCUUUUCUCUUGAUGAGGGGACUACUUUUAUGAAGUUGAUGUGGUUUUUGAAGACAGCACCUCAGUGAAGAGAGUGCCUUUAUGAUUAUUAUAUCUUUUAUGAAGACAGCAUCUUCAGGAGGAGACACCUUCAUGAGGUGACAACUUUAUGAGAUUUCUGGGUUUUAUAAAGAGAUUGUGUUUAUGUUGCUUAUGAUGAGAGCAUCUUUAUAAGGAGAUUGCUUUUAUGAGUUUUAUGGCCUUUUUGAAGUUUAUGAAGUUUAUGAGUUGAGUACCUCUGUGAGGUUUAUGGCAUUUAUAAGUUGAGUGCUUUUAUGAGGUAUAGGUGUUUUAUUAAGAGAGUACCUUUAUGUGGUUCCUGAUGUUUAUGAGGAGAUCUCCUUUAGGAAGCUUAUGGGGCUUAUGAGGAAAUCACCUGCAUUAGGACAGUACAUUUAUGAGGUUUAUGGUGUUUAUGAGGCGGAUGUCUUAAGGAGAAGAGUGCCUUUGUGAGGAUUAUGGGGUUUCUGAGAACAGCACCCUUAUGAGGUUUAUGUGGUUUCUGAGGAGAGGUCCUCUAUGAGGAGAAUAUUUUAUGAGGUUUAUGGGGCUUAUGUGAAGAGGGACUCUCCUCACAAACCUCAUAAUCCAAAUAAACCUCAUAAAGGCACUCUCCUCAUAAGCCCCACAAAUAUCAUAAAAGCACUUUUCUUGUGGGGACUGUCUCCUCAUGAAGGCCAUAAAUUUCUUAAAGACACUCUCUUCAUAAACCCCCUUAUUGUCAUAAAGACAUUCUCUUCAUCAAUUCCAUAAAAUUCAAAAAGGCCUUUAAUACCAUGAAGGCCAUAAAGGUCAUAAGGAUACUCUCUUCCUAAACUCCAUAAACCUCAUAUUGGUGCUCUCCUCCUCAAUACCAUAAAAUUCUUAGAGACCCUGUCCUCGUAAAGCCUAUAAAUAUCAUAAAUAAAAGCAUAUAUACAAUCACCUGAAAAUGACUUUGUCUUCAGAACCCCCAUGAUCCUUAUAAUGCUGCUCUCCUCAUAAACUCUACAAACCUCAUAAAAGCACCCUCAUUACAAAGCAGCCUCCACAUAAACCCCAUAAACCUCAUGAAGGCAUUCUUCUAAUAUACCCAUAAACCUCAUAAAAGGUUUGCUUUCCUCAUAAUCCAUGCUUUCCUCAUAAUCCCUCUAAUGGUCAUAAAGGCGCCCUUAUAAGUAUUAUGGAGUUUAUGAGGAGAGCACCUUUAUGAGGUGAGCAGCUUUAUGUGCCCUUAUGUUUAUGGGGUUUACAAGGAGAUAUCUUUUAUGAAGUUGAUGGGGAUUAUGAGGAAAGCACUUUUCUAAGGUUUAUGGUCUUGAUGAGGAGACUGCAUUUAUGAAAUUUGUAGUUUAGGCAGGGAGUGCCUUUAUGAAGUUCAUGGGGCUUUUGAGGAGAGAGUCUUUAUGAGCUUUAUGAGGACUGCACCUUUAUGAGGUUAAUUAGGUUUUUGUGGAAAGAACCUUAAUUAGCAUAGUAUUUUAAGGUUUUUAGGGUUUAUUAGGUGAGCACCUUGAUGAGGACUUUGGGGUUUAUGAGGUGACUGCCCUUAUGAGGUUUAAGGUGUUUAUUAAGAAUGGACCUGCUAGAAAAUUUUUUGUGUUUAUGGGGAGAUAUUGUUUAUGGGGUUUAUGGGUAAAGCACCAGUAAGAGGUUAAUAAGGUUUAUCAGGAGAGCACCUAUAUGAGCUUUAUGAGGUUUAUGGUCUCCAGUGAAUUUAAUGGGGUUGAUGAGGGGAGUGCCUUUAUGAUGUGAAAUGGGUUUGUGAAGAGAGCACCUUUAUGUGGAAUGCACCUGUAUGAGGUUUUCAGGGUUUAGGAGGCAAGCAGCUUUAAAACGUUUAUGGCCUUCAUGACCAAAUCCACCACAUGAGCACGUGGUCUUCAUGAGAAAAAGUGCCCUAAUGAUUUUUACAGGGCUUAUAAGGAAAGUUCCUGUUACACCCCAGCAGUUGUACAGAAGGAAGAACAGCCUGCUCUGUUAAAACCUGAAGUGCAUCCAGAACGCUGCUAAAUUGCACAACAGAUAUUUCUGCAAAUAUUGAAGCAGUUAAGGUACCAACAUCCACCAGAAUCUCUUAAGUAGGAAAGACUGAUCAGAACAUCUUGCUAUACCUGACCACAUGAAGUCAGCAUUUGCAGGGUCCUGUUGACAAUGAAAAUCUGUAGGAGAAUUAAUUUCAAUUACAGAGAUGGGUUUUUCUUACUCUGAAAUUACUAUCUGGAGGAAAUUGAUACCUCAGUGCUCUCGUGUUCUCUCCUUCUCUCAUACCACCUAUCUCCUCACUUUGGUAAUCAAGCAGUCUUUCUCUGGGUCUCAGCUAUUGAAGCCUGCGAAGAUACAUCUCUGGCACAUGGCCAGAGACAUUUGAUUUCUGCUGAGCUGUUCAAGUAAGAAAGUUGAUCCAUAUCUUCCUGGAAAGCAACAUCCAAACCCAGACUUCUUCAAGAAACAGCAGAUAAAAAGAAUUUUCCCAAACCAGGGAAAGCUCAGGAGGAGCUGAGGGAGAUGCCAGGACCCUGAAGCUCAUGUGGCAGUGCCUGAGAAGUCCUGGACAGUCACAGAAAUGUGGUGGAGUGACUUGCACUGGAGUUCUGCACUGGAUGGUUAUAAACCUUUCAG
Long non-coding RNA from Passer domesticus (house sparrow), 2769 nucleotides. RefSeq lists it as uncharacterized. The transcript is spliced from 6 exons. Lineage: Eukaryota; Metazoa; Chordata; Aves; Passeriformes; Passeridae. The record is from RefSeq and is a predicted model, not a curated record.